AUAUAUCUGUCGAUAUUGCUAAAAGCUUGCCAAUUGGAUAGCUACCAGUCACUGAGUAACUUUCAUUUCAAAUAUAUCUGCAGUUUGUCCUUCCCAAGCUUAGAAGUAUUUCAGUGUUAAAAGUACGGAAAAUUAUUUGAAAGAAUAAGAAAUGGAGCUAGAGUCGAUAGAUUUAGAAUUUUACCGUGUGCCAAAGUUUGCGUUACUCGUUCUCGGAUUUUGGCCCGAAACAAAACUAACUCCUAUUCGAAUUAUCCACGGAGUCAUCAAUCUAAUCAUUCUAUCAUGGGCAGUAAUAUCUGAAAUGUGUUCAGGAUUUAUGCUAAUUCAACAACCAAUUGUGGCGUUGGAUGCAAUUGCACCAUCACUUUCAAAAUUGGUAACAAUAUUAAAAUUGACUGUGAUGUGGACAUCGCGUAUUCGAUUUCGAAUUUUAGUUAACGAUGCUUAUGAUUUGUUACAAGUAGAUAACAGCGAAAAGAAACUCAAAAUACUUAAAAAGAUGAAGAAAUUUACAGCUGCCCUCGGCUUUAUUGUAUUCCUCUUAGGAAAUGCUACCAACGCGGCGUAUUUUUUUCGUCCUAUUGUGAAUAAUGCUUUGGAUUACUACAAUGGAAGAAAUGUUACAAGAGAAAUGCCGUUUAUUGCAUGGGUUCCUUUUCCGACAACCAAUAUUGUAGCUUACUGCCUUGGAUACAUGGUUAAUUCUUAUUUUGGAUUUAUAGCAGCAUUUGGAUUUGGUGGGGUUGAUGGUUUUUUUGUCCAGUCUUGUAUGUACUUGUCGACUUUAUUUCAAAUAUGUCGAGAAGAUGCAAAGUUGGCUUUUUUCGCUGGAACGUUCAAUGUAGCUUCUGUAGAGCAAAAUAUAAUUACUCGGAAGAAGCUAUCGGCAGCUAUUGAAAAACAUAACAAGAUUAUGGAUAUGUGCGAGGAAUUAGUGGAUUUAUUCACGCUCAUUAUAUUAGCACACUUUCUAUCUGCGGCCCUUGUUAUAUGCGUCACUGCUAUCGACUUUUUGAUGGCUUCAGGAUUUAAUAUUGUUGUCUACGUUGUGCAUAGCCUAAUGGUGAUUUUUGAAUUAUUCGUCUAUUGCAUUGGUGGAACUGGCGUUUUUGAAUCUACGUUGCUAGAGCUGUUUACUUCCGUGAGUGGUAUAAGUAUGAUAUCAGCACUCAAAAAAUGAUCGGGCUGAUAAUGGUAAGAUCACAGAAAGGUACUAAUGUGCAAGUACCAUUCUUUGCACCGUCAAUACCGGUCUUCGGUACGAUGUUGGGAACAGCUAUGUCAUAUAUUACUCUUUUAAGAACUUUCUUGCAGAGGUAAAUCCUGAAAAAAUUGAUUGUAAACAUUUUACUUGAAUAAAACUAGAAUUGAAAAUAACUGGCUCAGAUCAGUUCAAAUUUGCACUAGAUAACAUUAUAUUAUUUGUGAGAUUUUCUGAAUUCUCUCGUCAUGCAAGUUAUGGAGUUUAAAUAAAACGACUUAAAAUUUAGAAUUCAA
Molecule: unclassified non-coding RNA, 1500 nt
Filed under: Hermetia illucens (black soldier fly)
Lineage: Eukaryota; Metazoa; Arthropoda; Insecta; Diptera; Stratiomyidae
Description: odorant receptor 22c-like, transcript variant X1
Source: RNAcentral